GGACCACCAAAUACUGGUCCACAACAACUCUCUAGGAUGCAGCAGCAGCACAGGAAAUACAUACUGCCAAGGAAAAAUCAGAAAACAGAUACGAUCAGCAAAUGUAAUUUUAUCAUAGAGGAAUCUGCUUGAUUCUUUUAACAACUACAUGCUUAAUUAUGGAGUAUAAUAACGUGAUAAAAUCAGGAAAGUAGCUCACCAAGAAGAUGCAAUCCUGCAUAUGCCAUUACAGAGAAAA
RNAcentral lists this unclassified non-coding RNA (238 nucleotides) under Hevea brasiliensis (rubber tree). Lineage: Eukaryota; Viridiplantae; Streptophyta; Magnoliopsida; Malpighiales; Euphorbiaceae. The record is from RNAcentral.